ACAUCCUAACUGAAAAGUCACUGGCUUGAGCGUGUCACUUGUUUGUAUCACUCGGACUUACAUCAACAACUAUUUCUAGAUCAGAUGGAAGAGCCAAUUUUAAUGAUCUGUGUUCAAUCGCUGAAAAAAAAAAAAAAAAGAAACCUUCAUGCAUGUCCAGGUGUGUGAGGCCCAGGUGAGGGAGAGUGCUGAGAGAAGUGAAGAGCUCCGGAGCAGAUGACAGUGGAACGCGAGGAAAGCAGCAAACUGCCACUCCGCAGCUAAAACACUACUCUGCCCACCUCUCACCUGCCACAGUGACAAGUGUUGCCACUCAGCAGCUGCAACUUGCAGAUAUGAAGUGAGCUAAGAUGCCUGCUGAAAACUUCAAAAUUAGAGCAUCUGAAAACUCCCCAGGGGGUUCCAUUUAAGUUUCUUCAUUUCACCAGAGCAUGGAGGUAGUGAAGGUAAAUUAACCAAGACUCCAAUCUCCGGCAGACUGAGAAGUUCAUUAAGUGCUUAGAAAAAACUCACCUGACAGCCUUAAGCAACUCUUAGCAGGAACUGGUGCACAAACCAAGAAGCAACUCCAAGGGAGUGACCAACUUCCAACAGGGACAGCCCAGCACAACUAUGUCAAUGGGCUGCCUUGUCUAUCUCAACAAAGACAGGCAAAGCCUGUCAUGUCUACAUAAAGUUAACACUUGACUUUGAACCAAGAAGUUGCAAAUUUAAGGCAAGCUGGCGAUCUUCAGAAAGGACUCCAGUACUAGCGGACGAUUCUGACCCACGACAAAGCCAUCUCCCGGACUCCCAACAACGACUCCCAGGAGCACGACCUUGUAUAUCAAGUGUCUCCUAACGUAUUAUCUCAUUUAGAGUAACUUGCCCAGUCGUGCCUCUAGCUAAGUAUCCAAACCAAGACCCAGCCCUGUCCCCUCGACCCGUCUAAAGAUGAUUUAAAUGUCCCCGGCUUAUCUGCCUUCCCUACCCUCCCUACACACACCAGAGAAUGUCUGAGAGAUACAGUUUCACAAGAAUCUUGGCACCUUGACUAUUUAUUGUUGAAAGAUGACGAAUAUGACUCCAAGCAAAAACAAAAGUUUCUCAACCGUCCAAACCCCAAGAGAAAAAAAUAAAAAACUAACAGGCA
Ochotona curzoniae (black-lipped pika) is the source of this 1132-nucleotide long non-coding RNA. RefSeq lists it as uncharacterized. The record is from RefSeq and is a predicted model, not a curated record. The transcript is spliced from 2 exons. Lineage: Eukaryota; Metazoa; Chordata; Mammalia; Lagomorpha; Ochotonidae.